This 253-nucleotide unclassified non-coding RNA is filed under the name uncultured Enterobacteriaceae bacterium. Its description in RNAcentral is "contains 16S-23S intergenic spacer region". It matches the Rfam family "Bacterial small subunit ribosomal RNA", at positions 524 to 776 of the family's 1533-position model. Lineage: Bacteria; Pseudomonadati; Pseudomonadota; Gammaproteobacteria; Enterobacterales; Enterobacteriaceae. The record is from RNAcentral.
UACGGAGGGUGCAAGCGUUAAUCGGAAUUACUGGGCGUAAAGCGCACGCAGGCGGUCUGUCAAGUCGGAUGUGAAAUCCCCGGGCUCAACAUGGGAACUGCAUCCGAAACUGGCAGGCUAGAGUCUUGUAGAGGGGGGUAGAAUUCCAGGUGUAGCGGUGAAAUUCGUAGAGAUCUGGAGGAAUACCGAUGGAGGAGGCGGCCGCCUGGACAAAGUCUGCCGCUCAGGUGCGAAAGCGUGGGGAGCAAACAGG